GACGAACGCUGGCGGCGUGCUUAAUACAUGCCAGUCGAACGGAAAGGCCCUGCUUUUGUCGGGUGCUCGAGUGGCGAACGGGUGGGUAACAAGUGAGUAACCUGCCCUUGACUUUGGGAUAACUUCAGGAAACUGGGGCUAAUACCGGAUCGGAGCUCCUGCUGCAUGGUGGGGGUUGGAAAGUUUCGGCGGUUGGGGAUGGACGCGCGGCUUAUCAGCUCGUUGGUGGGGGAGUGGCUUACCAAGGCUUUGACGGGUAGCCGGCCUGAGAGGGUGACCGGCCACAUGGGGACUGAGAUACGGCCCAGACGCCUACGGGAGGCAGCAGUGGGGAAUAUUGCACAAUGGGCGGAAGCCUGAUGCAGCAACGCCGCGGGCGUGAUGACGGCCUUCGGGUUAUAAACCGCUUUCGCCUGUGACGAAGCGUGAGUGACGGUAAUGGGUAAAGAAGCACCGGCUAACUACGUG
RNAcentral lists this ribosomal RNA (468 nucleotides) under uncultured bacterium. Its description in RNAcentral is "partial 16S ribosomal RNA". It matches the Rfam family "Bacterial small subunit ribosomal RNA", at positions 28 to 507 of the family's 1533-position model. The record is from RNAcentral.